RNAcentral lists this ribosomal RNA (1380 nucleotides) under Mycobacterium sp. 2462. Its description in RNAcentral is "bacterial SSU rRNA". It matches the Rfam family "Bacterial small subunit ribosomal RNA". The record is from RNAcentral. Lineage: Bacteria; Bacillati; Actinomycetota; Actinomycetes; Mycobacteriales; Mycobacteriaceae.
AAGGCCCUUCGGGGUACUCGAGUGGCGAACGGGUGAGUAACACGUGGGUGAUCUGCCCUGCACUUUGGGAUAAGCCUGGGAAACUGGGUCUAAUACCGAAUACACCCUGCUGGUCGCAUGGCCUGGUGGGGGAAAGCUUUUGCGGUGUGGGAUGGGCCCGCGGCCUAUCAGCUUGUUGGUGGGGUGAUGGCCUACCAAGGCGACGACGGGUAGCCGGCCUGAGAGGGUGACCGGCCACACUGGGACUGAGAUACGGCCCAGACUCCUACGGGAGGCAGCAGUGGGGAAUAUUGCACAAUGGGCGCAAGCCUGAUGCAGCGACGCCGCGUGGGGGAUGACGGCCUUCGGGUUGUAAACUCCUUUCGCCAGGGACGAAGCGCAAGUGACGGUACCUGGAGAAGAAGGACCGGCCAACUACGUGCCAGCAGCCGCGGUAAUACGUAGGGUCCGAGCGUUGUCCGGAAUUACUGGGCGUAAAGAGCUCGUAGGUGGUUUGUCGCGUUGUCCGUGAAAACUCACAGCUUAACUGUGGGCGUGCGGGCGAUACGGGCAGACUAGAGUACUGCAGGGGAGACUGGAAUUCCUGGUGUAGCGGUGGAAUGCGCAGAUAUCAGGAGGAACACCGGUGGCGAAGGCGGGUCUCUGGGCAGUAACUGACGCUGAGGAGCGAAAGCGUGGGGAGCGAACAGGAUUAGAUACCCUGGUAGUCCACGCCGUAAACGGUGGGUACUAGGUGUGGGUUUCCUUCCUUGGGAUCCGUGCCGUAGCUAACGCAUUAAGUACCCCGCCUGGGGAGUACGGCCGCAAGGCUAAAACUCAAAGGAAUUGACGGGGGCCCGCACAAGCGGCGGAGCAUGUGGAUUAAUUCGAUGCAACGCGAAGAACCUUACCUGGGUUUGACAUGCACAGGACGCCGGCAGAGAUGUCGGUUCCCUUGUGGCCUGUGUGCAGGUGGUGCAUGGCUGUCGUCAGCUCGUGUCGUGAGAUGUUGGGUUAAGUCCCGCAACGAGCGCAACCCUUGUCUCAUGUUGCCAGCACGUAAUGGUGGGGACUCGUGAGAGACUGCCGGGGUCAACUCGGAGGAAGGUGGGGAUGACGUCAAGUCAUCAUGCCCCUUAUGUCCAGGGCUUCACACAUGCUACAAUGGCCGGUACAAAGGGCUGCGAUGCCGUGAGGUGGAGCGAAUCCUUUCAAAGCCGGUCUCAGUUCGGAUCGGGGUCUGCAACUCGACCCCGUGAAGUCGGAGUCGCUAGUAAUCGCAGAUCAGCAACGCUGCGGUGAAUACGUUCCCGGGCCUUGUACACACCGCCCGUCACGUCAUGAAAGUCGGUAACACCCGAAGCCGGUGGCCUAACCCCUUGUGGGAGGGAGCCGUCGAAG